AUGAGCAAACUGUCAGUCAGCGUCCUACGUUCGCUCAGGAUGGACAUAAAAUACGUUUUGGUAGAUUUUUUCACAGACAACACCGUUCAUAUAUGUGAACUUUCACAAAUAAAACACAAAAAUAUGUCAAAACUACACCCCGAGGCCAUUCACAAGUGGAACAAAGAUGAGGAAGCAUAUGUUUACUGGAAGAAAACUUCGUCAGGCGAGCUGCAGCGUUGGCCUUGUCGAGUCAUCCAGUUUAGUGGAGAGCGUCAGCCCUUAAUUGACUUGAGAAAAAAAUUUGAAAAUGGCUGUGACUUUGACAGUAUACCCCUCUUUGCAACAGAGGAAACAUUAGGAAAGGGUAGAAGAGAGAAAGUAAAAAGGUCCUCAACAGAUGUUGGUGAGACUUCAUUUCUGGACCCGGAAAAUGCACCAGUAACCAAAAAAAAGAAAAAGACCAAAAACAUCAUUCAACAGAAGAUUAUGGCUGCGGUGAAACAAAGCUGCACUCAAAUAAAUGAACCAAGACCUGCCGUGGGAGUGCUGAAGGAUUCAAGUGUACCAAGUCCUUCGUCUCCUCAGCCAUGUAAGAGGUCAGACAUGGCUGAAGAGAUCAAAGAGUUUAAAAAUGAAAUUAAAGAGCUUAAAGAAGAUUUAAAAUAUGAGCGUCGCUUCAGGAUAAAAGCAGAGAGAGAGCUGAGGGAGUGGAAAGAAAUGCAUGCUGUUGUGCAGGAGCUAAAAGGCACAGUAGGAGAAAUAAAGAUGUGCAUUUCAAAGCACAAGCCUGGCACUCUGCAGACCUCAUCUUCUCAAAACAUCUGUUCUCAAACUCAAGAACCAUGCUCUGCUCAAGGAAGUAAGCAGGUAGUCGAUUACAUCAAUUUGGGGGAGGGGGUGCGGAUCAAGAGAAGCCAGUUUGAUAGGAUCAACACCCAAGAUUUUAAAAAAUUUACCAGCGAGCUUUUCCUUGUAACCUUUGGGCGAGAAACUCUUGCCACUCACUCUCUAAAUGGAAGAAAGGCACCCAAUGCAGAGACCAGCAAGGAGGCACUUCCAGCUCACACAGUGUCCGUCUUAAUAGACUAUAUCCAAAAGAAAUUCAGUGUGUCUUCAUCUGAUGUAAAGGCAGUCAUAAGAACCAAGCUUAACAACGAGGACAAGCUAUUCAAAAAACGAAACCUUCCUGAGUAAUGAAAAUAGACUAUAAAGUGUUUAUUUGCAAAUGAUUAAUUUAUUAAUUUAGUUUCUAACUCUCAGCCGGUUAUUUAAAGUUUAAAUAAAUAAAAAAAUGUAUUGUUAAAUUGCAGAUUCACUGUUGUUUUGUACAUAAAUUAAUAUAUGUGUGAAAAUAAAACUAUUUUCUGGAUAACCCGGUUGUAUCUGUACAGCACUUUAUUAGUACUUGUACUUUAGUUGUAAUCUUUAUUUUAGUACUACUGCAGUUGUACUGCAGUUUAGAAAUACUUCAGCUGUACUGCAUCUGCUCCAAUACAUCUAAAGUACUAGUAAAAUAAUACUGAUACAGAUUCAGUACAGCUGAAGUACUUCUAAAAUACAACUGCAGUACAACUGCAGUAGUACUACAAUACAAAAGUAAAACUUCAGACUUCUUUUUUUUACAGUAAUACUGCAAUAUUGCAGUUUUUUCGUGUCCAAAAAACUGCAUUUUUCUACAUGUAACAAAAACUGUAGUAUUACUUCUAAAAAACUGCAGUAAUUUUUUGUAAGGGUGAGGAAUAAUUUUAAGGACAAAAACAACAGCAGUUAACCAUAAAGAUACUGGUCAGGGUAUAUUUUAGCAAACCGUUUAACAAUCAUGUUUCUCAAUCGGCAAAGCAAUCUGUGUACUUUUUCUUUUUUUAAAUCAGAUUGGCAAAACAUUUGAUUUAGAUUGGAAGUCCAGAGCACAUCAAACUGUUUCUGAUUUCAAGUCAAUACAGCUAUAAAAAGCAAAACAUUGAAAAUAAAUAAAGUAUACACAGACACAAAUGUGUUGUCAGGUCAACAAACACACAAAGUGUAAUAAAAUGUACACUUUAGGCACACAUGAUGAAUAGAGAUGCAGUUUUCACUGCUUUAGGGUUAACAGAGCUUUAGAUUUCUACCCUAGUUUAACUUUGUACUUGUCUGGAUAAGCUCUGAAUACAGAAAAUACAGGUUUUAGAGUCAGUAAAUUGUGAAAUUUAGCUAGCAUGAAACACAAGUUAUAUUUUUUAUAUUUUCUCUUUUGAGCAGUCAAACAAUCCAAAGAAAAUAUCUUUAUAAUAGAAAGAGUAGUAACUUACAAAGUUAUAUUGAAUGAACACAAAAAACUGUAAUGAUAACUAUAACAAGAAAUAUAACUACAAGGAUUUAAUAACUCUAGAGAAGAGUGAAGUCCACAACAACUAUAAUAACUGUUAUAAAGGUUAUAUUAGGGAUUGUACUGGUUUUGGAAACUGUAAUGGUUCCUGUGGCUCGUUAAAACCACUCAAUCCUAAUGAAAUUUGUCCCAAUACACUCAAGGAAACCAUUUUCAAUGGUUUUAAUGGUUAAAAGUUGAUGGUUCGUAAUGGUAUUUGUAGAGGAAACCAUUAGAAUUUCUGUGAUGGUUCUAUUGUUUUUAUUGUUUCAGCAGGGAGGUAGUAUCACAUGGCAACAUCUCCAAACUCUCCAGUUUUCUGUAAGCACACAGUGUCGAUUCUGGUCCAGAAGGGGGCAGAUUUGAUCCUGGCGCUCUUCAUGAGUUCCCUGGAGGAGAAUCUAGAGGAGCAGAACUUGUUGAGAUGAUCAGACUGGAGCUCUCGCUCAUCCGCAGCACAUCAGAU
This 2792-nucleotide long non-coding RNA is filed under the name Carassius auratus (goldfish). RNAcentral's name for it is "lncRNA (ENSCARG00000040391.1)". The record is from RNAcentral. Lineage: Eukaryota; Metazoa; Chordata; Actinopteri; Cypriniformes; Cyprinidae.